AUAUGCAAGCUCACUUAAGACAUUCAAGGAGGUCCGGAUCCUUUCCUCACUGCCCAGGCCCUGGCCCACCCCUCCCUUUAACCGUCAGGGUCCGCACUACCUGGGAAGCCCCACACCCUCCAAAGAUGAGCUAGGUGCGCCAGACGCAUGCUUCUCUGCUCCGCUGGCUCCGAAGAACCAGAUCUGAGGCCAAGAUAAAACCCGAUUCCUGGUGUCCGACCCCCUAACAUUAGAAGUCGAGAGAUGAAGGGAAAACUCGGAAGUCAGAGCCAUGGAUUCAAACCGGCACUGGAAAAUGCCCCGGGACAGUUCGUGCUGAGCGCCUUAGCCACAGGAAACAUUUUCCUGGGCAUCUAAAUCUAUUGUGGACCUGAGGCACUGUGCUUACAGGGCCUACUGGUUUUCACUGUAUGAGACCGAGAAUGGAUUAUGGCAGUUCCUCUUACCUCCGCUGCGUACUUGACUCCAUCCACGGUGUGCUCAGAGCCAUGAUCAUCCGAAGAGCCCCAGUGAAGAUGAAACUGGCGAAGUCGGUAAGGUCCAGGGAGAGGACCCCCUCUCAGCACUGUGAUUCAGAUAAGCUUGGUCAAC
This 591-nucleotide non-coding RNA is filed under the name Pongo abelii (Sumatran orangutan). The record is from RNAcentral. Lineage: Eukaryota; Metazoa; Chordata; Mammalia; Primates; Hominidae.